AAAAACAUAACCUUUAGCCAAACAAAUAUUAAAGGCAACGCCUGCCCAGUGAACAAUUAAACGGCCGCGGUACCCUAACCGUGCAAAGGUAGCAUAAUCAUUUGUCUACUAAUUAUAGACCUGUAUGAAAGGCAAAAUGAGGGUCUAACUGUCUCUUAUAAUAAAUCAAUUAAACUGAUCUCCUAGUAAAAAAGCUAGAAUAAUAUCAUAAGACCAGAAGACCCUGUGAAGCUUAAAUCAAACUACUAAAUCACAUAGUAAUUACUUUCGGUUGGGGCGACCUUGGAAAAAAAUAGAACUUCCAAGACCCAGUACAACUGACAAUUGAACCAAGUUACUCCAGGGAUAACAGCGCAAUCUUCUUCAAGAGCCCAUAUCAAAAAGAAGGUUUACGACCUCGAUGUUGGAUCAGGACAUCCUAAUGGUGCAGCCGCUAUUAAGGGUUCGUUUGUUCAACGAUUAACAGUCCUACGUGAUCUGA
Molecule: ribosomal RNA, 481 nt
Filed under: Rhinocheilus lecontei (longnose snake)
Lineage: Eukaryota; Metazoa; Chordata; Lepidosauria; Squamata; Colubridae
Description: partial 16S ribosomal RNA
Rfam family: Bacterial large subunit ribosomal RNA
Source: RNAcentral